This 1171-nucleotide ribosomal RNA is filed under the name uncultured Bacteroides sp. RNAcentral describes it as "bacterial SSU rRNA". It matches the Rfam family "Bacterial small subunit ribosomal RNA", at positions 10 to 1176 of the family's 1533-position model. The record is from RNAcentral. Lineage: Bacteria; Pseudomonadati; Bacteroidota; Bacteroidia; Bacteroidales; Bacteroidaceae.
AGUUUGAUCCUGGCUCAGGAUGAACGCUAGCUACAGGCUUAACACAUGCAAGUCGAGGGGCAGCAUGGUCUUAGCUUGCUAAGACUGAUGGCGACCGGCGCACGGGUGAGUAACACGUAUCCAACCUGCCGUCUACUCUUGGACAGCCUUCUGAAAGGAAGAUUAAUACAAGAUGGCAUCAUGAGUCCGCAUGUUCACAUGAUUAAAGGUAUUCCGGUAGACGAUGGGGAUGCGUUCCAUUAGAUAGUAGGCGGGGUAACGGCCCACCUAGUCUUCGAUGGAUAGGGGUUCUGAGAGGAAGGUCCCCCACAUUGGAACUGAGGCACGGUCCAAACUCCUACGGGAGGCAGCAGUGAGGAAUAUUGGUCAAUGGGCGAGAGCCUGAACCAGCCAAGUAGCGUGAAGGAUGACUGCCCUAUGGGUUGUAAACUUCUUUUAUAAAGGAAUAAAGUCGGGUAUGUAUACCCGUUUGCAUGUACUUUAUGAAUAAGGAUCGGCUAACUCCGUGCCAGCAGCCGCGGUAAUACGGAGGAUCCGAGCGUUAUCCGGAUUUAUUGGGUUUAAAGGGAGCGUAGAUGGAUGUCUAAGUCAGUUGUGAAAGUUUGCGGCUCAACCGUAAAAUUGCAGUUGAUACUGGAUAUCUUGAGUGCAGUUGAGGCAGGCGGAAUUCGUGGUGUAGCGGUGAAAUGCUUAGAUAUCACGAAGAACUCCGAUUGCGAAGGCAGCCUGCUAAGCUGCAACUGACAUUGAGGCUCGAAAGUGUGGGUAUCAAACAGGAUUAGAUACCCUGGUAGUCCACACGGUAAACGAUGAAUACUCGCUGUUUGCGAUAUACUGCAAGCGGCCAAGCGAAAGCGUUAAGUAUUCCACCUGGGGAGUACGCCGGCAACGGUGAAACUCAAAGGAAUUGACGGGGGCCCGCACAAGCGGAGGAACAUGUGGUUUAAUUCGAUGAUACGCGAGGAACCUUACCCGGGCUUAAAUUGCAGAUGAAUUACGGUGAAAGCCGUAAGCCGCAAGGCAUCUGUGAAGGUGCUGCAUGGUUGUCGUCAGCUCGUGCCGUGAGGUGUCGGCUUAAGUGCCAUAACGAGCGCAACCCUUGUUGUCAGUUACUAACAGGUUCCGCUGAGGACUCUGACAAGACUGCCAUCGUAAGAUGUGAGGAAGGUGG